UACGUGAAACCGUUCAGGGGUAAACCUGAGAAACCCAAAAGAUCGAAUGGGGAGAUUCAUCGUCAGCGGCAUUGGUAUCCGUGCGGUACGCGAUGCUCGGGACUUCGGUCUUGGGUCACGCUACCGCUGCGCGAUAUUCCGGUGUUGUCGGCGUGCACUUCUCCCCUAGUAGAACGUCGCGACCCGUUGGGUGCUGGCCUACGGCUCGGAUGGUCGACUGUCGCGAGUCGUCGCAAGGCGUCUGCGCGGCAGACCUCCGAUCGCCCGGCCGGCUGCCCGGCGGUAGAAGACUGAUUUUCAUGGUAUCGAGUCGCAGUAAAUGCGUUCAGGCACGUCGGCAGGCGAGUUUUAGUUCGGUAUUCGGACCUAGUGCCGUAUACCGGGCUUGGCUUGCCUCUCGUCGACGUUGUCCUCGGACAGGCUCGUACAUUCGUACGGAUAUACCGGUCGGCGACGCUACUGCUUUGGGUACUUUCAGGACCCGUCUUGAAACACGGACCAAGGAGUCUAACAUGUGCGCGAGUCAUUGGGACUUUGUGAAGCCUAAAGGCGAAAUGAAAGUGAAGGUCGGCUUUAUUGUCGACCGAGGGAGGAUGGUUCGCGUCACGAUGCGAACCCGCACUCCCGGGGCGUCUCUAACUCAUUGCGAGUUGAGGCGCACCCAGAGCGUACACGUUGGGACCCGAAAGAUGGUGAACUAUGCCUGGUCAGGACGAAGUCAGGGGAAACCCUGAUGGAGGUCCGUAGCGAUUCUGACGUGCAAAUCGAUCGUC
RNAcentral lists this ribosomal RNA (773 nucleotides) under Hymenoptera sp. NZAC03014353. Its description in RNAcentral is "eukaryotic LSU rRNA". It matches the Rfam family "Eukaryotic large subunit ribosomal RNA", at positions 396 to 906 of the family's 3401-position model. Lineage: Eukaryota; Metazoa; Arthropoda; Insecta; Hymenoptera. The record is from RNAcentral.